UGCUACGGGAUAAGCGCUGAAAGCAUCUAAGCGCGAAGCCCACCCCAAGAUAAGGGCUCCCUGAAGGGCCCCGGGAGACUACCGGGUUGAUAGGCCGCAGGUGGAAGCCCCGUGAGGGGUGAAGCCGAGCGGUACUAAUCGCCCGUUCGACUUGCACGCC
Molecule: ribosomal RNA, 160 nt
Filed under: Aquifex sp.
Lineage: Bacteria; Pseudomonadati; Aquificota; Aquificia; Aquificales; Aquificaceae
Description: partial 23S ribosomal RNA
Rfam family: Bacterial large subunit ribosomal RNA
Source: RNAcentral